Molecule: transfer RNA, 75 nt
Filed under: Alphaproteobacteria bacterium
Lineage: Bacteria; Pseudomonadati; Pseudomonadota; Alphaproteobacteria
Also listed under: 2 other names
Description: tRNA-Glu
Rfam family: tRNA
About the family: Transfer RNA (tRNA) molecules are approximately 80 nucleotides in length. Their secondary structure includes four short double-helical elements and three loops (D, anti-codon, and T loops).
Source: RNAcentral
GUCCCCUUCGUCUAGCGGUCAGGACGUCGCCCUCUCACGGCGAAAACAGGGGUUCGAUUCCCCUAGGGGACGCCA